Ornithodoros turicata is the source of this 1640-nucleotide long non-coding RNA. RefSeq lists it as uncharacterized. NCBI's taxonomy places the organism in Eukaryota, Metazoa, Arthropoda, Arachnida, Ixodida, Argasidae. The record is from RefSeq and is a predicted model, not a curated record. The transcript has 3 exons.
CCCGCCCGAUACAAAGGGGAUAGCCAGGAUAGCCUCCAGGAUCAUCAUCAUCAUCGUCGUUGGUUUUGACGACCAGUUUGCUUGUCGAUGACUGUGAGCUACACAACAUGCGCUCACUUCAGUUAAGGGCGGAUCCCACUAAAGUGUCGCUGAAGCAGCAACGUGAACGACAGGUCAGCCGCCAUGUUGGGAACAUCAGUUGCUGAUAUAUCGAGGAAGAAACGGUGUUCGCUCAAGCGGGGAAAUCGGUGAUCGAGUGAGCCAGUGGAAGCCAACGCCAACUACAUUCCACCAGACUAAGGGACUCAAGUGCCCGUAGAUGUGCCGCUUUGAAGCUCCUUAUUGUGUAAUAAGCGUUCUUUGUUUUGUAUCUGCUGUCUUUACUGUGUAACCACCCACCACAAGUAAAUAAAGAAAUAGAAUCGUACACUACCUGUAGAACCCAGGAAAAACCUGUCACAGUGUCCACAGGAUAACCACAGCCCCCCACAUGCCUCAAAUUACCCGAAAUGUAGCCUCGGGUUGUCCUGUAUACCGGUUCGAGCGGUAACAUUGAACAAACUAUGUUAGUACAAUUUCUGUCCGUGAGACAUCCAGAGGUUGUAUAUGGCUUCGCUGUCGCUAUAAGCUUUGUUUAGCUUCGUUGCCCAAAAUUUCAGCAGAAAUCUGCGGUAUUAUGCAACGUUGGCAAAAAUAUGAAACUAUCAACUUUGGUAUUUCAGUAUAUUCCCCGAUUAUUAUUGGCGCAUGCUACUGGAGACUUCAAGUUGGACGAGUUUACAUGUUUGGGGGAAGUUUUGGUUUCGGUACUGGGACAGGUUUGCAAUAAUAUCUACGAAGAUUGCAAGACCAAGUUAUAGGAACAGUCAGAAAGUAACUUUAUAGUAGGCAAAAAUCAGAUUUAAAUUUUUUGUAAGGUUGGUUAGUGUUAACAAAAGCUCAUUUGGAAUUGUUAUAUUUGUAUUUUGUGUGUUCCUGCUCCCGCAAUGAAUGAUGCAUUUGUUUGAACCAAUGCAUCCCCUAUCAGACUCUCAGGUUAUGUAGCUCAUCUAGUUGUUGGGAAACUGGAUGCAGAUGGAAGCUGCAAAGACUUCGGGGUCUGUCACACUGGCGCGGCACGACAUACAACAGCUUGUGACAAGUCGAAAGCAGUCGUGUCGUGCAGAGUCUUUGUCCAAGGAUGUCACCAUCAUACUGACGCGACACCACUGCGACAUGACAACAAGACCGGUGUCGUACGGAUAGUUUUGUCAGUGGGACUGCAGACUUGAUUCGACAGUCGGAUGAAUCGAGUCAUACGACCGUGUCGUGCUACGUUCAACCUCUGCUCAAACAUCUGCAGUAAAUAGUGCAUUCUGAGAUAGGAAUGAACCGGAGGCAAGACACAGGGUGCAUAAUAAACUGAUUUACUCGAAUAUAACAAUUGCAAAAUGUACGAGAUGUUUAAAGUAGCACAGAAGUCAUUUUUAACACUUUGUUUGGUCCCUUCCCAGGCAGAAAAACUAACAUCAAGUAUUAUCUAUUUCAUGUAACGCUGUAGUUCCUCAACUGCUAUGACUUAAUUAUGUCAUUGUUAUGCUCCAUGUACAUUAGAAUAUGUUUAAUGUUUGACUACAAAUAAAAUGCAUUUUUGCGUUGCA